Molecule: long non-coding RNA, 996 nt
Organism: Macaca mulatta (Rhesus monkey)
Lineage: Eukaryota; Metazoa; Chordata; Mammalia; Primates; Cercopithecidae
Source: RefSeq, a predicted model, not a curated record
CAAGUUAUUUUACCUCUCCGGGCCUCAGUUUUCACAAAAGUAAAAAUAACUGGAGUUAAACAAAAUUAUCUCUGAGGGUGACCUCACAGGUAGUAAGACUUCCAGUUUGAGUAUGAAAAAGAUUGGACUUUCUUGGGCGUUUCUCUCUAUCCAUUUGGGCAGCUGCAAUUCUUCCACCCUAUAGCCUGGAGAAACAGCAUGAAUUACUAAUAAGGGAGCACCAAUCUGCAGUGCAGUGACCACUAUUCAGAACAAAAGGGUAAAAGCUAAAACCAGAAAAAUAGAUUUUUUUAUCUACUAGUUGCUUAAAGCAUAUUUGGACCUUGGCUCUACUGGAGAACAUUUUGCAAUAUUCUACCAUUCUUGAGCAGAAGGCACUUGGCCCCAAAGACUACACUUCCAAAGAAAGAAAUGGUCAUUUAUCUACUACCUAUGAUGCUUGACAGAAUGUUUCCAUCCUCUACGUUGGAACUCAGGAUCCCAUUAACUCAUGAAAUAUAUAUUUAAGAUUUAAGUUUUAUUUUACUGACCCUUUGCUUAAACAGCUUCACCAGCAUCAGUAUUAGAAAGGAGGAGAAUACAAACAGCUCAAAAAUAGAGAUCCUUUUAAGGAAGGAAAGGACUUCUGAAGACUCAUGCUUGGAUUGUGCAUCUAUCCCGGAGCAGAAUGGAACAGGGACUUUCCCCCUGCCCCGGUAACUAGAAAAAAUGACACAUCAGAACGUUUACUCAGUGCUUGACAGAUACCCAGCAACAUCUGUUCUUGUACAUUUUAAUGAUCAUGCAUCCAGCUUCAUGAUAUUUUCCUGGAAGGAAAAUAAAUUCCAGGAUAUGAAAAAAGCAUAUCCUAAGGCAGAAGUAUUUUACUAGUUAAAACAGGAUAGCAACACAAGGACAACCUCAUCUCCAGAAGGGGUUUCUUGACAAAUUGAUAUAACUCAACUUUGGACUUGGUUUCAGCUUUGUCCAUUCACGUAAGUACUUAGUGGAUUAAAA